Molecule: ribosomal RNA, 484 nt
Filed under: uncultured bacterium
Lineage: Bacteria
Description: partial 16S ribosomal RNA
Rfam family: Bacterial small subunit ribosomal RNA
Source: RNAcentral
AUUGAACGCUGGCGGCAGGCCUAACACAUGCAAGUCGAGCGGAAGAAGGGAGCUUGCUCCUGGAUUCAGCGGCGGACGGGUGAGUAAUGCCUAGGAAUCUGCCUGGUAGUGGUGGAUAACGUCCGGAAAAGGGCGCUCAUAUCGCAUACGUCCUGAGCGAGUAAGUGGGGGAGCUUGGAACGUCACGCUAUCAGAUGAGCGUAGGUCGGCUUAGCUAGUUGUUGGGGUAAAGGCCUACUACGGCGGCGAUCCGUAACUGAUCUGAGAGGAUGGUAAGUCACACUGGAACUGGAACAGGGUCCAGACGCCUACGGGAGGCAGCAGUGGGGAAUAUUGGGCAAUGGGCGAAAGCCUGAUCCAGCCGUGCGGCGUGUGUGAAGAAGGUCUUCGGAUUGUAAAGCACUUUAAGUUGGGAGGAAGGGCAGUAGGUUAAGACCUUGCUGUUGUGACGGUACCAACAGAAGAAGCACCGGCUAACUUCGUG